RNAcentral lists this ribosomal RNA (253 nucleotides) under uncultured bacterium. RNAcentral describes it as "partial 16S ribosomal RNA". It matches the Rfam family "Bacterial small subunit ribosomal RNA", at positions 524 to 776 of the family's 1533-position model. The record is from RNAcentral.
GACGAACCGUGCAAACGUUGUUCGGAAUCACUGGGCUUAAAGGGCGCGUAGGCGGGUCGCCAAGUCAGGGGUGAAAUCUUUCGGCUUAACCGGAAAAGUGCCCCUGAUACUGGCGAUCUCGAGGGAGGUAGGGGCAUGUGGAACUUCCGGUGGAGCGGUGAAAUGCGUAGAUAUCGGAAGGAACGCCGGUGGCGAAAGCGACGUGCUGGACCUCUACUGACGCUGAGGCGCGAAAGCCAGGGGAGCAAACGGG